Molecule: ribosomal RNA, 469 nt
Filed under: uncultured bacterium
Lineage: Bacteria
Description: partial 16S ribosomal RNA
Rfam family: Bacterial small subunit ribosomal RNA
Source: RNAcentral
GACGAACGCUGGCGGCGUGCUUAACACAUGCAAGUCGAACGGAAAGGCCCUGCUUGCCGGGUGCUCGAGUGGCGAACGGGUGAGUAACACGUGGGUGAUCUGCCCCUUACUUUGGGAUAAGCCUGGGAAACUGGGUCUAAUACUGGAUAGGACCAUGCUGUAGGUGGUGUGGUGGAAAGAUUAGUUUCGGUAAGGGAUGAGCUCGCGGCCUAUCAGCUUGUUGGUGGGGUAAUGGCCUACCAAGGCGUCGACGGGUAGCCGGCCUGAGAGGGCGGACGGCCACAUUGGGACUGAGAUACGGCCCAGACUCCUACGGGAGGCAGCAGUGGGGAAUAUUGCACAAUGGGCGCAAGCCUGAUGCAGCGACGCCGCGUGGGGGAUGACGGCCUUCGGGUUGUAAACUCCUUUCAGCCAUGACGAAGCCCUUGUGGUGACGGUAGUGGUAGAAGAAGCACCGGCUAACUACGUG